Molecule: ribosomal RNA, 690 nt
Filed under: uncultured bacterium
Lineage: Bacteria
Description: bacterial SSU rRNA
Rfam family: Bacterial small subunit ribosomal RNA
Source: RNAcentral
AGAGUUUGAUCCUGGCUCAGGAUGAACGCUGGCGGCGUGCUUAAUACAUGCAAGUCGAACGGAGACAGUAGCAAUACCUUUAGUGGCGAACGGGUGAGUAACGCGUUGGUGACCUGCCCCGAAGCGUGGGAUAACAGUCCGAAAGGACUGCUAAUACCGCAUAUAGUCCAAGAGAUUAGAGGCUUAUGGACGAAAGGAGACAUUCACUUCGGGAGGGGCCUGCGUCCCAUCAGCUAGUUGGUAGGGUAACGGCUUACCUAGGCGAUGACGGGUAGGGGACCUGAGAGGGUGGCCCCCCACAAUGGAACUGAAACACGGUCCAUACACCUACGGGUGGCAGCAGUAGGGAAUAUUGCAAAAUGGGCGAAAGCCCGAUGCAGCAACGCCGCGUGGGCGAUGAAGGCCUUCGGGUCGUAAAGCCCUUUUUGAGGGGAUGAGGAAGGACAGUACCCUCAGAAUAAGCCUCGGCUAACUACGUGCCAGCAGCCGCGGUAAAACGUAGGAGGCGAGCGUUAUCCGGAUUUACUGGGCGUAAAGCGCGUGCAGGCGGAUUGGAGAGUUGGAUGUGAAAGCUCCCGGCUUAACUGGGAGAGGUCGNUCAAUACUUCCAGUCUUGAGUGCAGUAGAAGGGAAGUGGAAUUNCNGGUGUAGUGGUGAAAUGCGUAGAUAUCCCGGAGGAACACCAGUGGC